Molecule: ribosomal RNA, 279 nt
Filed under: uncultured bacterium
Lineage: Bacteria
Description: partial 16S ribosomal RNA
Rfam family: Bacterial small subunit ribosomal RNA
Source: RNAcentral
UGCCAGCCGCCGCGGUAAUACGAAGGGGGCAAACGUUACUCGGAAUCAUUGGGCGUAAAGAGUGCGUAGGUUGCUUAAUAAGUUAUUAAUAAAAUCCUUAAUUUUAACCUAAGAACUAUUAAUAAAACUAUAAAGCUAGAGUUUUAGAGAAGAUGUAAGAAUUUCUAGUGUAGGGAUGAAAUCCGUAGAUAUUAGAAAGAAUAUCAAAGGCGUAAGCAGACAUCUUGCUAAUUACUGACACUGUUGCACGAAAGUAUGGGGAGCAAACAGGAUUAGAUA